GCAUGUGAAUGGAUAAGGUAAGGGUAAGACGGUCAGUUCACAUGUGCUGUAAAACGAAAAUAAAAAAGAAAAUCUCAAAACCAAGAAAUGGAGAAGAAAUACCCUGAAUUGAAACAAUUCACGUUCGAAAUUUAUCGUGUUUGACGAUGACUGGUGGAUACACGAAAACGAUGGAUAAUUGCUCAAUUGAAAUCGGUGAAACGUUAUCUCGAUGACCGACUUGCUCUGGUAGCUCUAGCUUGAUGAAACUGACGAAUUGCACAUUCCAUUCAGAUUCAGAGAUGCCUGACAAAGCCACCCCUUAUCAUCCUUGUCCUCAGGGAUGGAAAUAAAGCAGGAAAACCUUCCAAAUGAAAGCUGCAUCUUCCCAUAUGGCCUCAAAUUUUAGAAGAUUCAUCUAGUGAAUUAACCACUGCGCCAUUGGUUCAUUGUUGCUUGGGAUCAUUCUUCUUGGUAAAAUAGCCACUAGACCUACUUUAAUGGUUCUUUUUAUCAUUAAUUAAUGGAAGAUCUGGACUUUUAAUGGAAGAUUUGGACUUGAAAUUGCAAAAUGUCCCAUAUACCCUUUUAGCUUAAGGACAUGGAAGGCACCUUUAGGUAGAAGAUUUUGUAUGCAUCCUUUCCAAUUUUGUCCAACAUUCUGAAUGGCCCAUAGAACUUGGAAUGAAGCUUCAUUGACCUGUGGGUGCUCAAGGAUGUGUAUCUAUAUGGCUGAAUCUUCAAAUAUACCAUGUCUCCUACUUCAAAGAUUCUUUCAAAUAUAUCUAUAUGCCUUGGUUAAAUUGUCUCUGAUCACCUAUAAGUAGCCACGUUUCUGAGUUGCUCUUGAGCUAACAGAUCAAGGCAGACUAGAAUCAGCCUUGGUUAAAUUAUCUCUGAACACCUAAGUAGCCACGUUCCCGAGUUGCUCUUUAGCUGACAGAUCAAGGGAGACUGGAAUCAUAGCUUGAGCCACCAUUAGAGGAGGAAACCCAUACAGAACUUGGAGGGGGGCAUGUUCAAAGAAGUGUGAUAGCUUGUAUUGUACCACCACUCUGCAAGUGAUAACCAAUAAUAUGAUCUUUUAGGACUGUUAAAAUACAUACAUAUCUCAAGUAACUAACCAAUAAUUAAUUAACUCAUUUUGUUUGUCCAUUAGUUUGGGGGUGAUAAGCAGUUGUAAAACGGAGCUGCACUUUUAAUAUCUUAAAAAUGAUGGCGAACCAUUACUUAUGAAUAUUGGAUCCCUGUUUGCUAGAUAACCUUUGGCAUGACAUGUAAUUUGAGGAUAUUAUGAAGAAAUACGUAACUAUAUCUUGAGCAGUGUAAGGGUAACUAUUAGAAAUGAAAUGAGAAUACUUGGUUAAUCUAUCCACUACUAUUAAAAUUACAUCUUUGCCUUGAGAUUUUGGCAAGUCCUCCACAAAAUCCAUAGAUAUAUGUGUCCAUGCCAUAUCUAGUAUAGAUAAUGGUUGCAAUAGUCCUAGAUAAGGAAUGAUUUCAGGCUUGUUUUUGUGGCACACAGCACAAUUCUUGGCAUUCUCUUUAGCUUGUUGUUGCCUUUUGGGCCAACCGGCCAAUAGAACACCAAUUUAACCUCUGAUAAGUUUGCCCUUUCCCAGAAUGACCACCCAGGGCUGAUUUGUGAAAACUAAAAACUUCCUAGUAACUGUUGCAUCUAUUGGCCUGUAUCACCAAUCAACCGUCUCCCCUGAUACCUAAGAAGUCCAUUACUGAGAGAAUGAUUUGGAAUAGAAUUUGGAUCAAUGCUCAACUUUGCUAUCAGAUCAACACACUUUUCACCUUGUUCAUAGCUGUUAAGCACUUGCUCAAUCCAUAUAGGAAUUACUGUGGUGAUGGCCAUACAUUAUGGAGAAUGUGCUGAACUCCCUCUAGCAGUCUUUGCUCAUGGAUAUACUUAAGGCUCUAUAAGAACUAGCAAAAUAAUGUUUCCAUUUCUUAAGAGCCUCCAAUAUUUAUAUUUCCUCUUUUUCAUAAGUUGAUAAUGCAGACGUCUUAGGACCCAAAGUCCUACUUAUAAAAGCAAUUGGUUGGCCAUUCUGCAUUAGUACUGCAGCAAUUCCCCUAGCAUCAGCCUCCAAAAUGAAAGGCCGAGUAAAAUCUGGUAGUGAUAAAACAGGUGGACUGGACAUGAUCUGUUUGAGUUUAACAUAAGUUAUUUGCUGGCUAUCAAUCCAAACACCUUCUUGGUUUGCUAAUGAUUCCAUACACUUGGAUAAACCUUAUAUAACAUCCAGCAAGGCCCAAAAAUGACCUUAAUGGAGUUACAUUGCUUGGUUGAGACCAACUCUGAAUUGUAUUGAUUUUUAUAGAAGAACCCUCAAAUGAUCAACAUGUUUUGUCAUGUUAGCAUUGUAUAUAAGGAUGUUAUCAGAAAAUACUAGUGCAAACUUCCUCAAAAAUGAAGCAAGAACUGAGUUCAUCAAGGAUUGAAAUGUAGCAGGAGCAUUGUUUAACACAAAUGGCAUUACUAGUUUAACCCAAAUGGCAUUACUAUAAAUUUAAAGUGACCCAAGUGAUUUUUAAAGGUUAUGACCUCAGACUACAAAUAAAAUAAGGAAGCUUCUGGUACUUUUUUACUUAUGACACAAUGUGGAUUCUUCUUCGAAUAUGAUUUGACAGGAAUUUUAGCGGACGGAGGCUUAUUGAAAAAUUUGCUUGCUCGGGCAAAGGUGUAAGCCUUCGUAAAACCUUUCAUGCUCGGGAAAAACAUUUUUUUUAAUGUAAGUUUUAUUAAUGUAAAUGUGGUGCUUUGGGUGUAGCUUUGGAGUAUUUGUCCAACUAGAAAUGGGACAGUGGAGUAUUCCUUUAUAAGGAAGAGGACGGGAAUGAGUAUAGGUGAAACGGGAGGAACGGUGCAAUAAAACCAAUUUUCUUUUUCAUGUUUUAGUGGCAUGGGUAUGGAUUCUGAAAUGCCCUCACGAGUGCAGAUGCCAGCUCCCCUAGAGAGAUCAGAGUACCUCUACAUUUCUGAUGCUCUAAUUUAUAGAAGUGACAGAAAAGGGCAACACUCGGAGCAAUAUCAAGGAAAGCUUCACAAAGAUGGAAAAAAAAAAGUACUAACUAGGUAAUCGACGUGAGGUUCAGAUGGAUCAGCUCGAUCUCGUACA
This 3110-nucleotide long non-coding RNA is filed under the name Panicum hallii. RNAcentral's name for it is "long non-coding RNA (PHAL_LNC000036)". Lineage: Eukaryota; Viridiplantae; Streptophyta; Magnoliopsida; Poales; Poaceae. The record is from RNAcentral.